Molecule: ribosomal RNA, 543 nt
Filed under: Salmonella enterica
Lineage: Bacteria; Pseudomonadati; Pseudomonadota; Gammaproteobacteria; Enterobacterales; Enterobacteriaceae
Also listed under: 1 other name
Description: partial 23S ribosomal RNA
Rfam family: Bacterial large subunit ribosomal RNA
Source: RNAcentral
AGACCCGAAACCCGGUGAUCUAGCCAUGGGCAGGUUGAAGGUUGGGUAACACUAACUGGAGGACCGAACCGACUAAUGUUGAAAAAUUAGCGGAUGACCUGUGGCUGGGGGUGAAAGGCCAAUCAAACCGGGAGAUAGCUGGUUCUCCCCGAAAGCUAUUUAGGUAGCGCCUCGUGAAUUCAUCUCCGGGGGUAGAGCACUGUUUCGGCUAGGGGGUCAUCCCGACUUACCAACCCGAUGCAAACUGCGAAUACCGGAGAAUGUUAUCACGGGAGACACACGGCGGGUGCUAACGUCCGUCGUGAAGAGGGAAACAACCCAGACCGCCAGCUAAGGUCCCAAAGUCAUGGUUAAGUGGGAAACGAUGUGGGAAGGCCCAGACAGCCAGGAUGUUGGCUUAGAAGCAGCCAUCAUUUAAAGAAAGCGUAAUAGCUCACUGGUCGAGUCGGCCUGCGCGGAAGAUGUAACGGGGCUAAACCAUGCACCGAAGCUGCGGCAGCGACACUCAGGUGUUGUUGGGUAGGGGAGCGUUCUGUAAGCCUG